Non-coding RNA from Rattus norvegicus (Norway rat), 1439 nucleotides. The record is from RefSeq and is a predicted model, not a curated record. Lineage: Eukaryota; Metazoa; Chordata; Mammalia; Rodentia; Muridae.
GGAGAAACUGCAAAUCAGAGAGUGUUAAGCAAUUAGGUGAACAGAAAGAUAAGGCUGACAAGAGUUUGGGUGUCUGUGGCUCCAGUGCCCAGGUUCAGGCUGAUCCUGUCCUCUGGGUGGCACUUUUGUUUUACAUUUUUCAAAUUGAAGGAAGAGUGAGAAAGGAGGGCACUUGAAUUGGAGCCUGGUCAGUGAACAGAAACGCCAUGAUUGCUGUCUGGGUGAAAGGUGAGCUGUGAUAAGCUGAGGAACCAUGGGAUGAGACGCUGGGUCCUGUGCUGGGCUCAGUGGAGAGGGAGAGGCCUAUGGCAGAGAGGCCACAAAGUCGCCACCAUUACAACAGAGGAUACAGUUUCUAGCAUCUGCUACUUUUUAGCUGGAGAGUAUCUGCAUCUUCCUAUCCUUGUGUGGCAGACACAGUUAACAUCAUUCCCAAUUCACAGAUUAGGAAACUGAGGCUCCCAGAUGCUUGACCUCAAAUUGUAUUCUUUCUAGGGGAUGGAACUUGGUUCCCCCCCCCCCCCCUUUACUGCCUCCCCUGGUCUCUAGAAUCCCGCUGCUCUAAAUUCGCCUGUCUUUGCUUUAGAAUUCACUCCUCAGCCCAUACUUGGUGCUACAGCAUUCCUUUGAAUGGGGUCAGAAUGAAUGGGUUCUCAUGUCUAGUAAACGCAAUGACAAAGUACUUAGCUGAAUUUGUUUUCAAAUCAAUAGAUACUUUUUUCUAGAGGUUGGAAUACUCUAACACUUAUUUAGAUAUCACAUACUAAAAGCUCAUCCAUCGCUUACUAAAAAUUCAAGUGGAGCUGGGGCACCCCAUGUAGAACACAUUGAGCUGCCUUAAAGUUAAAAAAGGCCCCACCGUGUUGCUGCAGCACUCAAGCCUGGAGUUAUCUGACUCCUCUGUCCCUCCUCCCCAGACCCUUCCAUCUAGAGAGCUCUGAUAGGAACCGGGCUAUUCUGGGAAAUUGCAAGGACCUGGUGACAUGGAAGAGAGGCGAGGGCACCAGUGACCUCAGAAUGGGAGUUCAUUUGGUGAUGUCGACUCCCCUGAUAAGGUGUGUGUGGAAUAUGUUUCUGCUGUCACCGUAGCCUCCAUCUGUUCCUGAUUCACAGCACUCUCAGGAAGGGGACCUUUUUCUCUGAGGAAAAUGUAAUGUGGCCCUUACCAGAGUCUGAGUUGAUGGUGGACGAUCCAACGAUCUUGGAAGCUCUGCCUUUUGAGAGUCUUAUAAGCCAUCUCAGAGGCAAGCCUCCACUUUUACACUUGCCAAUAGAUGCCGCACAUGUAUGCUCACUGGAUAUUUUUGUGUCAAAGACUGUGGUCUACUCCCUAACCAUUUUUUUUCUUUUCAACAUUACUAUUUUGUUUAGGAAAACAAUUCUUUAUUUGGACAAACAGUCUAGACUGAAGUAAAAAAAAAACCCGUACCAUCUCAUGA